AGAGUUUGAUCCUGGCUCAGAACUAACGCUGGUGGCGUGUCUUAGUCAUGCAAGUCGAACGAGAAAGCACCUUCGGGUGCGAGUAAAGUGGCGAACGGGUGAGUAACACGUGGGUAACCUACCUUUGAGUGGGGAACAAUCCCUCUAACGAGGGGCUAAUACCGCAUAAUGCAGCGGCUCCGCAUGGAGACAGUUGUUAAAGGGGCAGCUUCGGUUGUCUCGCUUGAAGAUGGACCCGCGGUCCAUUAGCUUGUUGGUGAGGUAACGGCUCACCAAGGCAACGAUGGAUAGCCGGCCUGAGAGGGUGUACGGCCACACUGGAACUGAGAAAGGUCCAGUCCCCUACGGGGGCCAGCAGUCUAGAAAUUUGCGCAAUGGGCGAAAGCCUGACGCAGCGACGCCACGUGGAGGAUGAAGCCCUUAGGGGUGUAAACUCCUGUCAGAAGGGAAGAAUGCAGGAAAUAACUUUUCCUGUUUGACGGUACCUUCAGAGGAAGCCCCGGCUAACUUCGUGCCAGCAGCCGCGGUAAUACGAAGGGGGCAAGCGUUGUUCGGAUUUACUGGGCGUAAAGGGUCCGCAGGCUGUCGGGUAAGUUGGAUGUGAAAGCUCAAGGCUUAACCUUGGAAUUGCAUCCAAAACUGCCUGACUAGAGUCCAAGAGAGGUUGGCGGAAUUCCCGGUGUAGCGGUGAAAUGCAUAGAUAUCGGGAGGAACACCAGAGGCGAAGGCGGCCAACUGGCUUGGUACUGACGCUCAGGGACGAAAGCGUGGGUAGCAAACCGGAUUAGAUACCCGGGUAGUCCACGCCCUAAACGAUGGAUGCUAGGUAGGGGGAAGUUGCUUCUCCCUGCCGUAGUUAACGCAUUAAGCAUCCCGCCUGGGGAGUACGGUCGCAAGGCUGAAACUCAAAGGAAUUGGCGGGGGCCCGCACAAGCGGUGGAGCACGUGGUUUAAUUCGAUGCUAAGCGAAAAACCUUACCAAGACUUGACAUGUUAGCUUAAGCCCGUGUGAAAGCAUGUGGUGGUUCCGGGUUUUCCCGGAGCAGUUAUCACAGGUGCUGCAUGGCUGUCGUCAGCUCGUG
This 1082-nucleotide ribosomal RNA is filed under the name uncultured bacterium. RNAcentral's name for it is "bacterial SSU rRNA". It matches the Rfam family "Bacterial small subunit ribosomal RNA", at positions 8 to 1064 of the family's 1533-position model. The record is from RNAcentral.